GGGCCGAUGGUCUAACGGUAUGACGCCGCCUUCGCAAGGCGGAGACUCCGGGUUCAAAGCACCCUUUUCAAAACCGGGAACUGCUUUGCAGUUUACGGCCGUAAGCCGCAAGGCUUCCGGAGGCUGCACCCAAAAAUGGUGAUGGAAAUCCCGGUCGGUCCA
RNAcentral lists this transfer RNA (162 nucleotides) under Candidatus Aenigmatarchaeota archaeon. RNAcentral's name for it is "tRNA-Ala". The record is from RNAcentral. Lineage: Archaea; Nanobdellati; Candidatus Aenigmatarchaeota.